Molecule: small RNA, 1913 nt
Filed under: Pongo abelii (Sumatran orangutan)
Lineage: Eukaryota; Metazoa; Chordata; Mammalia; Primates; Hominidae
Description: processed transcript
Source: RNAcentral
GUUUCAGUCAACAAUACAGCUCAUGUUUGACAAUAUUCCUUGAUGACAGCACAGCCAACCAGCCUUAUCUUACAAUGACAAUAAUAUCAGAUGCAGAUAGAUCUUUGAGCAUAUUUGAUGAACGGUUAUACUCAUUUACGGUUUCCACCGUGCACAUUACCCAGACAAGAAAUGGAGGUGGGAGUUUCAGUAACCAUUCCUCCUCCAUUCCAUCGACUCCCAGCACCAGCCAGGAGGACCUUCAGAUCAGUGUUCCUCCCACUGCCAACACACCCACGCCCGUUUGCAAGCAGUCCAAGCGCUGGUCCAACCUGUUUACAUCUGAGAAAGGGAGUGACCCAGACAAAGAGAAGAAAGCCCCAGAGAGUCAUUCUGACACCAUCGGGAGCGGCAGAGCCAUCCCCAUUAAACAGGGCAUGCUCUUAAAGCGAAGUGGGAAAUGGCUGAAGACAUGGAAAAAGAAAUAUGUCACCCUGUGUUCCAAUGGCAUGCUCACCUAUUAUUCAAGCUUAGGUGAUUAUAUGAAGAAUAUUCAUAAAAAAGAGAUUGACCUUUGGACAUCUACCAUCAAAGUCCCAGGAAAGUGGCCACCCCUGGCCACAUCGGCCUGCGCGCCCAUCUCCAGCUCUAAAAGCAAUGGCCUAUUCAACAACAUGAACAGUCUACGUAUCUCAGCCAAUUCAGACACCGAGCUGGGUGACUCCAUAUGCUUCAGCCCCAGUAUCUCCAGCACCACCAGCCCCAAGCUCAACCUGCCCCCCUCUCCUCAUGCCAGUAAAAAGAAACACCUAAAGAAGAAAAGUACCAACAACUUGAAAGACGAUGACCUGUCCAGCACUGCUGAGGAACAAGGAGAAAACUUUAUCAUUGUGUCCGUCACUGGCCAAACAUGGCACUUUGAAGCCAUGACAUAUGAGGAGCGGGAUGCCUGGGUCCAAGCCAUCGAGAGCCAGAUCCUGGCCAGCCUGCGGUCAUGCGAGAGCAGUAAAAGCAAGUGCCGGCUGACCAGCCAGAGCGAGGCCAUGGCCCUGCAGUCGAUCCAAAACAUGCGUGGGAACUUCCACUGUGUGGACUGUGAGACCCAGAAUCCUAAGUGGGCCAGUUUGAACUUGGGAGUCCUCAUGUGUAUUGAAUGCUCAGGAAUCCACCGCAGUCUUGGCACCCGCCUUUCCCGAGUGCGAUCUCUGGACCUGGAUGACUGGCCAGUUGAGCUCAUGAAGGUUAUGUUAUCUAUUGGCAAUGACCUAGCCAACAGCAUCUGGGAAGGGAGCAGCCAGGGGCGGACGAAACCCUCAGUAGAGUCCACAAGGGAAGAGAAGGAACGGUGGAUCCAUUCCAAAUAUGAGCAGAAGCUCUUUCUGGCCCCACUACCCUGCACGGAGCUGUCCCUGGGCCAGCACCUGCUGCGGGCCACCACUGAUGAGGACCUGCGGACAGUCAUCCUGCUGCUGGCACAUGGCUCCCGGGAAGAGGUGAAUGAGACCUGUGGGGAGGGAGACGGCUGCACGGCGCUGCAUCUGGCCUGCCGCAAGGGGAAUGUGGUCCUGGCGCAGCUCCUGAUCUGGUACGGGGUGGACAUCAUGGCCCGAGAUGCCCACGGGAACACAGCGCUGGCCUAUGCCCGGCAGGCCUCCAGCCAGGAGUGCAUCGACGUGCUUCUGCAGUACGGCUGCCCCGACGGGUGUGUGUAGUAUCUGUUUAAUUUGACUGCAGUCUCCUUGGUGCAAAAACAAAAUGGGGAAAAUAAAGAUAACUCAGAAUUUCAAAAGGAAAUCACAAAUUCAGCUAAUAAUAGCAUUUUCAGUACUUUUUGUAAACUAAGUAAAUACACAAAAUGUUGACUUUUCUGACCAUAAGACAUAUUUUAUGUCCUUUUGCCGAGGUGGAUGUGUUAGUCUCAGGCCCUCCUGGGC